This 207-nucleotide long non-coding RNA is filed under the name Lathyrus oleraceus (garden pea). RNAcentral's name for it is "Pisum sativum (pea) long non-coding RNA (PSAT_LNC038181)". The record is from RNAcentral. Lineage: Eukaryota; Viridiplantae; Streptophyta; Magnoliopsida; Fabales; Fabaceae.
UAAGAUCCCUCAUGGCAUCAAAACAUUGCAUUUGCAUUGCCUCAAGGAUCAUAAGCAUCUUGGCUCCUUUGCCUUUGGGUAGGACCUCUUGUGAGUGGUUUGAGUUCACCAAGCAUGCUUGAAUUGUAUAUCAUUGCUUUUCUCAUUUUAUUUACUAACCAAAAACACAAAAAUAUGUCACUAACAUUUCUUGUUUGUAGCUUGAGC